Molecule: non-coding RNA, 115 nt
Organism: Triticum aestivum (bread wheat)
Lineage: Eukaryota; Viridiplantae; Streptophyta; Magnoliopsida; Poales; Poaceae
Source: Rfam
UAAAUACUCCCUCCGUUCGGAAUUACUUUUCAUAAAAAUGGAUGUAUCUACAACUAAAAUACAUCUAGAUACAUUCAUUUCUUGCAUGAGUAAUUCCGAACGGAGGGAGUAUUUC